This 301-nucleotide ribosomal RNA is filed under the name uncultured bacterium. Its description in RNAcentral is "partial 16S ribosomal RNA". It matches the Rfam family "Bacterial small subunit ribosomal RNA", at positions 509 to 809 of the family's 1533-position model. The record is from RNAcentral.
CAGUAGCCACGGUAAUACGAAGGUCCCAAGCGUUGUUCGGAAUCACUGGGCGUAAAGGGAGCGUAGGCGGCGUGGUAAGUCAGAUGUGAAAUCCCGGGGCUCAACCCCGGAACUGCAUUUGAUACUGCCAUGCUUGAGGGUUGGAGAGGUAGCUGGAAUUCUUGGUGUAGCAGUGAAAUGCGUGGAUAUCAAGAGGAACACUCGUGGCGAAGGCGAGCUACUGGACAACAUCUGACGCUGAGGCUCGAAGGCUAGGGUAGCGAAAGGGAUUAGAUACCCGAGUAGUCCCUGUCUCUUAUAA